This 85-nucleotide transfer RNA is filed under the name Pontibacter qinzhouensis. It matches the Rfam family "tRNA". From Rfam's summary of the family: Transfer RNA (tRNA) molecules are approximately 80 nucleotides in length. Their secondary structure includes four short double-helical elements and three loops (D, anti-codon, and T loops). Lineage: Bacteria; Pseudomonadati; Bacteroidota; Cytophagia; Cytophagales; Hymenobacteraceae. The record is from Rfam by way of RNAcentral.
AGAGAGGUGGCAGAGUGGUCGAAUGCGGCGGUCUUGAAAACCGUUGACUGUUACAGGUCCGGGGGUUCGAAUCCCUCCCUCUCUG